UGCAGUCGAGUGCGCGGUUGUAGCAAUACAACUGGCGCACGGCGCACGGGUGCGUAACACGUGGGCAAUCUGCCCUCCGAUGGGGAAUAACUCCGGGAAACCGAAGCUAAUUCCGCAUAACAUUCCCUGGACUCCGGUUCGGGGAAUCAAAGCAGUGAUGCGUCGGAGGAGGAGCCCGCGCCCGAUUAGCUAGUUGGUAGGGUAACGGCCUACCAAGGCAAUGAUCGGUAGCUGGUCUGAGAGGAUGGCCAGCCACACUGGAACUGAGACACGGUCCAGACUCCUACGGGAGGCAGCAGUGGGGAAUCUUGCGCAAUGGGCGAAAGCCUGACGCAGCGACGCCGCGUGGGGGAUGAAGCUUCUCGGAGUGUAAACCCCUUUCGACUGGGACGAAUGCCUCGCAAGAGGAGUGACGGUACCAGUAGAAGAAGCCCCGGCUAACUACGUGCCAGCAGCCGCGGUAAGACGUAGGGGGCCAGCGUUGUUCGGAAUUACUGGGUGUAAAGGGUUCGUAGGCGGUGUGGCAAGUCGGGAGUGAAAUCUAUGGGCUUAACUCAUAGGCUGCUUCCGAAACUGCUGUGCUUGAGUGUGGGAGAGGCGCGUGGAAUUGCAGGUGUAGCGGUGAAAUGCGUAGAUAUCUGCAGGAACACCCGUGGCGAAAGCGGCGCGCUGGACCACAACUGACGCUGAGGAACGAAAGCUAGGGGAGCAAACAGGAUUAGAUACCCUGGUAGUCCUAGCCCUAAACGAUCAGGACUUGGGGUGCCUCCCGUUCGGGAGUCGUCCCGGAGCUAACGCGUUAAGUCCUGCACCUGGGGAGUACGGUCGCAAGACUGAAACUCAAGGAAUUGACGGGGGCCCGCACAAGCGG
RNAcentral lists this ribosomal RNA (871 nucleotides) under uncultured bacterium. RNAcentral's name for it is "bacterial SSU rRNA". It matches the Rfam family "Bacterial small subunit ribosomal RNA", at positions 56 to 932 of the family's 1533-position model. The record is from RNAcentral.